Long non-coding RNA from Diorhabda sublineata, 1088 nucleotides. RefSeq lists it as uncharacterized. The record is from RefSeq and is a predicted model, not a curated record. NCBI's taxonomy places the organism in Eukaryota, Metazoa, Arthropoda, Insecta, Coleoptera, Chrysomelidae. The transcript has 2 exons.
UCGACUUUUGCUUUAGUAUUUAAUAAAAUUCUGUUUGUUUCCAGAUGCGAGUUCAGCAACAAACUAUUCAGUGUAAAAGGAAAUCUCACAUUACAUCGCAGAUUCCAUACUGGAGAACGACUUCACAAGUGCUCCGUAUGUGACAAAACUUUCAUACAAUCCAGUCAACUUGUCAUUCACAUGCGCACGCACACUGGAUAGAGACCUUAACGUUUGUACAGUUUGUCAAAAAGGCUUCACGUGUGGUAAACAAUUGAAAGUAUAUUACAAAACACAUACAGGCGAAAAGCCUUUUAGAUGUGAGUUCUGCAACAAACUAUUCAGUGUAAAAGGAAAUCUCACAGUGCAUCGAAGAAUCCAUACGAAGUAACGUCCAUAUAAAUUCAGAAUUUGUUCUAGAGCCUUUUGCCUUAUAUUCAUCAUGAUGCAAAGAAAUAUUCAGUUCGUUAUGAGAUUAAGCCCUGUAAACCGUUUUCAACAUACAUUAAAUAAUGAUAAUAAUAAAAGAGAUGCAUACUAUCGAUUAAACAAAAUACCCUAAUCAAAAUUCCUACAGGUUGUCAAAUCAAUAUGGAAAAUUCCACGUUUAGUAAUACUCCAGAAACAACCGCUGUAAACCCUCUGAUACUUCCAAAAUUAGAUUGGGAAUUCGCUGGAACAGAAAAGUACACAAAACAACCCAUUAAACUAGAAACAAUCAAUCAAGGAUUUGAAACUCCAAGCUGAAUUAACAGAACCAAUACAAAAUCAAACAGUACACCCUGCAAUAUGGAAUAUUCCCGGACUUCUAGCAAUCAUAAUACCAGCCAUAAUAAUCUGGAUAUUUUGGAGACGUUUCAAACUGAAGAAGAUGAAGAAAGCCAGUCAACAACCCCAACAAAAGAACCCCUUUGACGGUGUCGUUUUAACUUAAGGAGGGAGGAGUUAUGUGAAGUUAUUUUGCUCACUUUAUAUAAAAAUAUCUGUGUCAGCUUUUAACGAUAAAAGAACUUUAUAUUAUCAUGAUCAUUCAUUUUUCAUUUUCUUAAUCAUUCUGUUUUUAACUCUGAAACUGUAAACUUGUAUUAAAUGAAGUUUAUUUUUAAAAA